This 69-nucleotide transfer RNA is filed under the name Bos taurus (domestic cattle). It matches the Rfam family "tRNA". Rfam says of the family: Transfer RNA (tRNA) molecules are approximately 80 nucleotides in length. The record is from Rfam by way of RNAcentral. Lineage: Eukaryota; Metazoa; Chordata; Mammalia; Artiodactyla; Bovidae. RNAcentral also lists the same sequence under 1 other name.
CCUGGUGGCUUAAAUGGUAAAGAAUCUGUCUGCAAUGCAGGAGACUCAGGUUCGAUACCUGGGUCAGGA